AUCGCUUCUUGGCCUUUUGGCUAACAUCAAGUGUAGUAUCUGUUCUUAUCAGUUUAAUAACUGAUACCUCCUCUUUCCAAGACAAUCUAUUAAAUGAAAUGAUACAAACGAACUUAC
Molecule: small nuclear RNA, 117 nt
Organism: Cervus hanglu yarkandensis (Yarkand deer)
Lineage: Eukaryota; Metazoa; Chordata; Mammalia; Artiodactyla; Cervidae
Gene: U2
Rfam family: U2 spliceosomal RNA
About the family: U2 is a small nuclear RNA (snRNA) component of the spliceosome (involved in pre-mRNA splicing). Complementary binding between U2 snRNA (in an area lying towards the 5' end but 3' to hairpin I) and the branchpoint sequence (BPS) of the intron results the bulging out of an unpaired adenosine, on the BPS, which initiates a nucleophilic attack at the intronic 5' splice site, thus starting the first of two transesterification reactions that mediate splicing.
Source: Ensembl